This 503-nucleotide ribosomal RNA is filed under the name uncultured bacterium. Its description in RNAcentral is "partial 16S ribosomal RNA". It matches the Rfam family "Bacterial small subunit ribosomal RNA", at positions 29 to 523 of the family's 1533-position model. The record is from RNAcentral.
AACGAACGCUGGCGGCGUGUUUAAGACAUGCAAGUCGCACGGGAUAAGACAUGUAGUAAUACUUGUUUUAUUUAGUGGCGCACGGGUGAGUAACACGUGAAUUACAUGCCCUAUAGUGGGGAAUAGCCCAGGGAAACUUGGAUUAAUACCCCAUGGUAUCGAAAGAUUAAAGGUGGCCGCAAGGCUGUCGCUAUAGGAUUGGUUCGCGCCUUAUCAGCUUGUUGGUGAGGUAACGGCUCACCAAGGCAAUGACGGGUACCAGGGCUGAGAGGACGAUCAGGCACACUGGAACUGAGACACGGUCCAGACACCUACGGGUGGCAGCAGUCGAGAAUAAUUCACAAUGGGGGCAACCGUGAUGGUGCAAAGCCGCGUGGAGGAUGAAGGUCUUCGGAUUGUAAACUCCUGUCAUCUGGGAGAAAGACCUGACGGUAAAUAGCCGGCAGGGUUGAUAGUACCAGAAGAGGAAGGGACGGCUAACUUCGUGCCAGCCGCCGCCGUAA